Molecule: ribosomal RNA, 200 nt
Filed under: uncultured prokaryote
Description: partial 16S ribosomal RNA
Rfam family: Bacterial small subunit ribosomal RNA
Source: RNAcentral
GUCAAAUCAUCAUGCCCCUUAUGUCCUGGGCUACACACGUACUACAAUGGCGGACACACAACGGGUAGCAACUCAGCGAUGGGAAGCCAAUCCUGAAAAGCCGCCUCAGUUCGGAUUGCAGGCUGAAACCCGCCUGCAUGAAGUCGGAAUUGCUAGUAAUCGCGGAUCAGCAUGCCGCGGUGAAUACGUUCCCGGGCCUU